UCCAUGAAGUUGGAUUCGCUAGUAAUCGCGCAUCAGCCAUGGCGCGGUGAAUACGUUCCCGGGCCUUGUACACACCGCCCGUCAAGCCAUGGGAGCCGGGGGUGCCUGAAGUUCGUGACCGCAAGGGGCGACCUAGGGCAAAACUGGUGACUGGGGCUAAGUCGUAACAAGGUAAC
Molecule: ribosomal RNA, 176 nt
Filed under: uncultured bacterium
Lineage: Bacteria
Description: partial 16S ribosomal RNA
Rfam family: Bacterial small subunit ribosomal RNA
Source: RNAcentral